GGUCACGAGAGUCAGCGCCAAGCCCCAGCUUGCUGACCGGCAACCCUCCCUACCGCGGCGGGGUGCCCUGGGUGAAGACCUGGCCGUGACGUCGUCCGACGUCCACGGCAAGCGCGGG
Molecule: non-coding RNA, 118 nt
Filed under: Kocuria rhizophila
Lineage: Bacteria; Bacillati; Actinomycetota; Actinomycetes; Micrococcales; Micrococcaceae
Description: SAM (S-adenosyl methionine) riboswitch aptamer
Rfam family: SAM (S-adenosyl methionine) riboswitch aptamer
About the family: SAM-IV is a mRNA element that regulates gene expression via direct sensing of S-adenosylmethionine (SAM or AdoMet). SAM-IV riboswitches share conserved nucleotide positions with the previously described SAM-I riboswitches sequence analysis and molecular recognition experiments suggest that SAM-I and SAM-IV riboswitches share similar ligand binding sites, but have different scaffolds.
Source: RNAcentral